RNAcentral lists this ribosomal RNA (641 nucleotides) under Salmonella enterica. Its description in RNAcentral is "bacterial SSU rRNA". It matches the Rfam family "Bacterial small subunit ribosomal RNA", at positions 881 to 1522 of the family's 1533-position model. The record is from RNAcentral. RNAcentral also lists the same sequence under 2 other names. Lineage: Bacteria; Pseudomonadati; Pseudomonadota; Gammaproteobacteria; Enterobacterales; Enterobacteriaceae.
UACGGCCGCAAGGUUAAAACUCAAAUGAAUUGACGGGGGCCCGCACAAGCGGUGGAGCAUGUGGUUUAAUUCGAUGCAACGCGAAGAACCUUACCUGGUCUUGACAUCCACAGAACUUUCCAGAGAUGGAUUGGUGCCUUCGGGAACUGUGAGACAGGUGCUGCAUGGCUGUCGUCAGCUCGUGUUGUGAAAUGUUGGGUUAAGUCCCGCAACGAGCGCAACCCUUAUCCUUUGUUGCCAGCGAUUAGGUCGGGAACUCAAAGGAGACUGCCAGUGAUAAACUGGAGGAAGGUGGGGAUGACGUCAAGUCAUCAUGGCCCUUACGACCAGGGCUACACACGUGCUACAAUGGCGCAUACAAAGAGAAGCGACCUCGCGAGAGCAAGCGGACCUCAUAAAGUGCGUCGUAGUCCGGAUUGGAGUCUGCAACUCGACUCCAUGAAGUCGGAAUCGCUAGUAAUCGUGGAUCAGAAUGCCACGGUGAAUACGUUCCCGGGCCUUGUACACACCGCCCGUCACACCAUGGGAGUGGGUUGCAAAAGAAGUAGGUAGCUUAACCUUCGGGAGGGCGCUUACCACUUUGUGAUUCAUGACUGGGGUGAAGUCGUAACAAGGUAACCGUAGGGGAACCUGCGGUUGGA